UACGGAGGAUCCAAGCGUUAUCCGGAAUCAUUGGGUUUAAAGGGUCCGUAGGCGGUUUAGUAAGUCAGUGGUGAAAGCCCAUCGCUCAACGGUUGAACGGCCAUUGAUACUGCUAGACUUGAAUUAUUAGGAAGUAACUAGAAUAUGUAGUGUAGCGGUGAAAUGCUUAGAGAUUACAUGGAAUACCAAUUGCGAAGGCAGGUUACUACUAAUGGAUUGACGCUGAUGGACGAAAGCGUGGGUAGCGAACAGG
This 253-nucleotide ribosomal RNA is filed under the name uncultured bacterium. RNAcentral describes it as "partial 16S ribosomal RNA". It matches the Rfam family "Bacterial small subunit ribosomal RNA", at positions 524 to 776 of the family's 1533-position model. The record is from RNAcentral.